CCCCGGGCCGCGCGCUCUCCCUGGCGGCCGCGGGGAGCCAAGACCCCAUGGGGGCGGGGCCAUUGACAGAGGGGGCGGGGCCAUUGACAGAGGGGGCGGGGCCAUCGAUAGAGGGGGCGGGGCCAAUGCGGGAGGGGCGGGGCCUCAGCAUUGCCCCUGGGGACACUGCUGCUGGGGGGGGGGGGGGCGGGGGGGGGGGGGGGGGGGGGUGCCAUGGGUGCCAUGGGUGCUAUGGGUGCCGUGGGUGCCGUGGGUGCUAUGGGUGCUGUGGGUGCUGGUGCCAUGGAGCCCCUUGGGGAGCUCAGGGCUGGGUCUUGGGGACCUUGGGGGGGGUGUAAAUGGCCAGGGGGGGCUGGACCAGGACCAUGCCAAGCUGUGCCAUGGCGUGCCAUGCGCUACCAUGGUGUGCCACACUGUGCCGUGCCAUACCAUGCUGUGCCAUGCCCUGCCGUGGCAUUUGGUGCCAUGUCAUGCUGUGCCAUGCUGUGCCAUGCCGUGCCAUGCCGUGCCAUUUGGUGCUGUGCCAUGCUGUGCCAUUUGGUGCUGUGCCAUGCUGUGCCAUGCCAUACUGUGCCAUGCUGUACCAUACUGUGCCAUGCCGUGCCAUGCUGUGCCAUUCGGUGCUGUGCCAUGCCAUGCCAUGCCAUGCCGUGCCAUUUAGUGCUGUGCCAUGCUGUGCCAUUUGGUGCAGUGCCAUGCUGUGCCAUGCCAUACUGUGCCAUGCUGUACCAUACUGUGCCAUGCUGUGCCAUGCCGUGCCAUGCCGUGCCAUUUGGUGCUGUGCCAUGCGGUGCCAUGCCAUGCUCUACCACGCCGUGCCACACUGUGCCAUGCCAUAUACCAUGCCGUGCCAUUCGGUGCCGUGCCGUGCCGUGCCAUGCCGUGCCGCACCACGGUGCCACAUGAAGCCCAAGGUCCCCAGUCAGGGCUGUCCCCCCCUGAUCCCUGGGACCCCCCCCAGGCCCGGCUGUGGCCGAGGGGCUUGGAGCCGGGCACCGAGCCGGGCACAGCGCCCACCCGGCUGCCUUCGGUGCACUGGCAGCGGGUGAGGGUGAUGCAAGGAA
This 1064-nucleotide long non-coding RNA is filed under the name Anas platyrhynchos platyrhynchos (common mallard). RNAcentral describes it as "lncRNA (ENSAPLG00000017144.1)". The record is from RNAcentral. Lineage: Eukaryota; Metazoa; Chordata; Aves; Anseriformes; Anatidae.